GACGAACGCUGGCGGCGUGCUUAACACAUGCAAGUCGAACGGUAAGGCCCUUCGGGGUACACGAGUGGCGAACGGGUGAGUAACACGUGGGUGAUCUACCCUGCACUUCGGGAUAAGCCUGGGAAACUGGGUCUAAUACCGGAUAGGACCCUGGGAUGCAUGUCCUGGGGUGGAAAGCUUUUGCGGUGUGGGAUGGGCCCGGGGCCUAUCAGCUUGUUGGUGGGGUGAUGGCCUACCAAGGCGACGACGGGUAGCCGGCCUGAGAGGGUGACCGGCCACACUGGGACUGAGAUACGGCCCAGACUCCUACGGGAGGCAGCAGUGGGGAAUAUUGCACAAUGGGCGCAAGCCUGAUGCAGCGACGCCGCGUGAGGGAUGACGGCCUUCGGGUUGUAAACCUCUUUCAGCACCGACGAAGCGCAAGUGACGGUAGGUGCAGAAGAAGGACCGGCCAACUACGUGCCAGCCGCCGCAGUAA
RNAcentral lists this ribosomal RNA (478 nucleotides) under uncultured bacterium. Its description in RNAcentral is "partial 16S ribosomal RNA". It matches the Rfam family "Bacterial small subunit ribosomal RNA", at positions 28 to 523 of the family's 1533-position model. The record is from RNAcentral.